GAACUUGCUCUUAUGAAGUUAGCGGCGGACGCCGUGAGUAACACGUGGGUAACCUGCCCAUAAGACUGGGAUAACUCCGGGAAACCGGGGCUAAUACCGGAUAACAUUUUGAACUGCAUGGUUCGAAAUUGAAAGGCGGCUUCGGCUGUCACUUAUGGAUGGACCCGCGUCGCAUUAGCUAGUUGGUGAGGUAACGGCUCACCAAGGCAACGAUGCGUAGCCGACCUGAGAGGGUGAUCGGCCACACUGGGACUGAGACACGGCCCAGACUCCUACGGGAGGCAGCAGUAGGGAAUCUUCCGCAAUGGACGAAAGUCUGACGGAGCAACGCCGCGUGAGUGAUGAAGGCUUUCGGGUCGUAAAACUCUGUUGUUAGGGAAGAACAAGUGCUAGUUGAAUAAGCUGGCACCUUGACGGUACCUAACCAGAAAGCCACGGCUAACUACGUGCCAGCAGCCGCGGUAAUACGUAGGUGGCAAGCGUUAUCCGGAAUUAUUGGGCGUAAGCGCGCGCACUGGUUUCUUACUCUGAUGUGAACCCCACGGCUCACCGCGGAGGGCAUUGGAAAUGGGAGACUUUAGUGCAGAAGAGGAAAUCCAUUCCAUGUGUAGCGGUGAAUGCUAGAGAUAUGAGGAACUCUGUAUCGAAGCUACUUCUGUCUGUACUGACCUGAGCGCAAAACGUGGAAGCCACCGGAUAGAUACCUGG
RNAcentral lists this ribosomal RNA (708 nucleotides) under Bacillus cereus. RNAcentral describes it as "bacterial SSU rRNA". It matches the Rfam family "Bacterial small subunit ribosomal RNA", at positions 76 to 789 of the family's 1533-position model. The record is from RNAcentral. Lineage: Bacteria; Bacillati; Bacillota; Bacilli; Caryophanales; Bacillaceae.